RNAcentral lists this unclassified non-coding RNA (201 nucleotides) under Hevea brasiliensis (rubber tree). Lineage: Eukaryota; Viridiplantae; Streptophyta; Magnoliopsida; Malpighiales; Euphorbiaceae. The record is from RNAcentral.
UCUUCAUCGUUCCACGCCCCACCUCCCAUACCUAUCUCAAUCUUCAUCACUAAUCCCAGAAUGAAAGCACCCACUAAACAACAAAAACCCAAAUUUUAAUACCGAAAUCAAAUCUUAGUAGUAAACCCCCAAAAUACUGAGAAAAUGAAACGCGGCUUUAUUUAGCAAAAUUUAAUGCAUUCAGCAAAAUAAAAUUCCCCC